This 253-nucleotide ribosomal RNA is filed under the name uncultured bacterium. RNAcentral's name for it is "partial 16S ribosomal RNA". It matches the Rfam family "Bacterial small subunit ribosomal RNA", at positions 524 to 776 of the family's 1533-position model. The record is from RNAcentral.
UACAGAGGUCUCAAGCGUUGUUCGGAUUCAUUGGGCGUAAAGGGUGCGUAGGCGGCGCGGUAAGUCGGGUGUGAAAUCUCGGGGCUUAACUCCGAAACUGCAUGCGAUACUGCCGUGCUUGAGGACUGGAGAGGAGACUGGAAUUUACGGUGUAGCGGUGAAAUGCGUAGAUAUCGUAAGGAAGACCAGUGGCGAAGGCGGGUCUCUGGACAGUUCCUGACGCUGAGGCACGAAGGUCAGGGGAGCAAACGGG